CGGGAUAGCUCAGCUGUAGA
RNAcentral lists this transfer RNA (20 nucleotides) under Phylica nitida. RNAcentral describes it as "partial transfer RNA-Phe". Lineage: Eukaryota; Viridiplantae; Streptophyta; Magnoliopsida; Rosales; Rhamnaceae. The record is from RNAcentral.